Small nuclear RNA from Hyaena hyaena (striped hyena), 198 nucleotides. RefSeq annotates it as U2 spliceosomal RNA. The transcript has a single exon. The record is from RefSeq and is a predicted model, not a curated record. Lineage: Eukaryota; Metazoa; Chordata; Mammalia; Carnivora; Hyaenidae.
AUCGCUUCUCAGCCUUUUGGCUAAGAUCAAGGGUAGUAUUUAUUCUUCUCAGUUUGAAAAUCUCCUUUAAAAAAAUAAAAAGAAAUAGCCGAAAGAGGUAUGUUACCUGUGAUCUCCCACCUUAUGCAUCAUACAGACAUGUGCGCGCACACACACAGGCAUACAUACUGACGUGUAUACACGAAUAUAUUAACACCU